AGUAUCGCGUAGGGAUUUAUCGUUGGGUGGGGGAUAACCGCGGGAAACUGCGGCUAAUACCGCAUGACGCCUGAGGGCCAAAGGUCUUAGGACUGCCUGAUGAGGAGCCUGCGUCCGAUUAGCUAGUAGGUUGGGUAAUGGCUGACCUAGGCUGUGAUCGGUAGCUGGUCUGAGAGGAUGAUCAGCCACACUGGGACUGAGACACGGCCCAG
RNAcentral lists this ribosomal RNA (212 nucleotides) under uncultured bacterium. RNAcentral's name for it is "partial 16S ribosomal RNA". It matches the Rfam family "Bacterial small subunit ribosomal RNA", at positions 109 to 334 of the family's 1533-position model. The record is from RNAcentral.